This is a long non-coding RNA of Mugil cephalus (flathead mullet), 2599 nucleotides long. RefSeq lists it as uncharacterized. Lineage: Eukaryota; Metazoa; Chordata; Actinopteri; Mugiliformes; Mugilidae. The record is from RefSeq and is a predicted model, not a curated record. The transcript has 2 exons.
CCGUCCGGGCCCGGGCCGAGCUCCCCGGAGUGUCCCGGGUCAGGUCCCCCGCCGCCGCCGAGCCUGCACUUCAGAGCCUCCCUGUGGCCCAGGAGCUCCGCCGCGGCAUCCUUCAUCCCUGCACAGACAACCGCAGCAGGACCUGUAUAAGCAGUCAUAGCUCCACAUCUCCCCCGUGCAGACUCCACUAACACGCUCACAUCAAUCUUACCUCUGAUAUAAAUAAAAAUAGACAAACAAACAAAUCCGCCCUCUGCAAGUUAAUGCGGCGCAUCUGAGUGGAAAGUAGACGUUUUCACGCGUUGUGGAGAUGAGGAGUGACUUUUAAUAAAACAGCAAAAACCAACGUGAGACACGCGAGACGCGCGCUGCUGCUGCUGCCGCAGCCGCGUAUCCGGCUCAGAGGCCAACUCUGGUUCAUGCGUCUCAUCCAUGCGCGCUGGACGCGUUGGGUGACUGGCGGGACUUGAACUCGUGACCUCGUGGUUACAGCGGAGACCCUCGGCCCGGGCGACGUCCCUUCCUUCUUCCGUCUUCCCUCUCCUCCCCCCUUCUCUCUCUCUCUCUCUCUCUCUCUCUCUCCCUCUGAUCCGCCUUUGCAGCCUGUAUUCACUCAAUUAGAGAUUUCUGAGGAGAAAAACAAUCGAUCUUCCAUCUGCACAAGCUCCCAGUUUAACAAAUGAGAUUCUUGUUUCAUGCAGCUGAUUUGGUGACAGUCUGGGGGAUUAGGAGUAAUAAGUUGCUGUGGUGAAGAGGAGGUGGUGGUGGAGGUGGAGGAGCAGCUGGCGCUGAUGCUGCUGCUGCUGCUGCUGCUGCAGCCGCAUCGGUCUCCUGCGCGUCCAGGAACCAGCCGCAAAAGUUUGACACGGACAAACUUCAGAGGCAGAAAAUUGGCAAAGCUGCGCAUCCUUCAUGGUGGCGACAUGUAGUUACAGCUUCAGCCACGAUGGCUCCGUUUCCUCAGCAAACAUUUUGAUGUUAGCGUCAACUUGGAAUGAAAAUAAUGAACGAGAGUUUAAGAAUCACCCAAAACCACUUUACUUCAAGAUGUUAUCAGACAAAAUGAACUUUACGCAGCGUUUACGCAUUUCCAUGACAUUUGGUCGUUUAGUUAUCAGCUACAAUAAUACAAAUUAUUAAUUGUUUUACCAAAAAAAAUACUGUAGUAAAAUGUCUCAGACUUGGCCACUGAAUCAAAUCUCAUUAUCCGCUCUCAUUACCAGGAAUUAAAUGGCCGCUGAGGUUAGACAGAGGUUACACAGGGGACGAUCCGUUCAUUUGGGUCUAAUGUUUUUUUUUUUUUUUUUGUGAGGGAGGCCUCGUUGGUUUUGCUGAUCAUCCACAGCUGAUAAGUCAUGUGAUUUUUUUUAAGGAGGACAGAAAUGAAAUGAAAGUACAGGAUCGCUCCAAAGCGCGCAGAUGUUCAGGAUGAAGCGAGAACGAAGCUUCUUUCAUUCUCAUUCUCUACUUUUAUUUGAUUUUAUUUAUAGUUUACGCAACUUUAAUCUAGAUUUCUGUGGGAAAAUCUGUGCUCAUUAUUAUUUUCUCACUAUUUCAAAGCAUAUCUUAAUAUAAAAAUGGAACCAAUUAACAAUUUAAAACCAUUAGAAUUUUUUUUAUCAGAAAUAAUAAUAAAAAAUGAUUUACUUUUCUAUUCUUAAAUGUAAAUGCUCCUUUUAUUAGCAGUAUUUCCACGCACUGUUGCUGCUCUACAGGAGGAGGUGGAUACUCGCCUUCCAGCCUCCAGCUUCCGUGCGCGGGUCCUCCGGUCACAUACACCCAGGUGUAGCGCCCCGCCGCCGCAUCUCAUGCCUCAAUUAGCGCCGCUGCCCUCUGCACGGACUCGAUUAGGCCGUGAUUUAUCCGAAAGAAAUAUAAUUAUACCUCCAAAUAAAAUAAUCAGCAUUGAAGAGCGAUUUCCUUAACGAGAUGGAGCGGGGUAGAUGUCACGCAAGUAGCAGCGCCUCAUUAGGGCGCUAAUGAGACUUUGGGGUGAUCCCGAUAAUUAUCGAAAUCUGUAAAAUAAGGAUCAAGUCAAAUGUAACCUUAAUUUGUCUGGCAAUUGAGUUCAUUUAUUAGUAUGACUAUUUAGGAAGGACUCUCUCCGGCUUAAUGCGGGCUGGUGUCGUUAUUUGAGGAUAAUAGGUGGCGCGUUCACGGGCCUGUUUUGUCAUUCACGGCCAUAACCAACAUUUGUCACUUGACUGACAGCGUUGCCCAAAGUGCUCUUGUCUUUAUUGUAGGCAUCAAGACACGAUCCGUCUCCCCGUGCUGUUAACAGGAACAGCAGCAGGUGAAUACACUGCAAUUAAAUCUGUCAGUUAGUGUUGAAAUGAUCCGGAGAUUAGUCAAUCAGAGAGGGAGGGGUGAGGAGGGUGAGGAGGGAGGGAGGGGGGGAGGACAAAAAAAAAAAGUCAUUUCUGAGAAUUAUGUCAGAGAUUCUGUGUCAGUGUGCUGAUCCCAGCUGGUUUAUUACACCAUCAAACGGAUUAUUUCUGCUGCUACAGUCCAACAUUGAAGCACGUCGUCCUCGGUGUAGAGAAGGCAGCCGAUAAAUAUUCAAUCAAGCCAAAUAAAAGAAUAAAAAAAAAAAAAAAAA